CCUACGGGAGGCAGCAGUGAGGAAUAUUGGUCAAUGGCCGAGAGGCUGAACCAGCCAAGUCGCGUGAGGGAAGACGGCCCUACGGGUUGUAAACCUCUUUUGUCGGGGAGCAAAGCGAGUCACGUGUGAACCAUUGAGAGUACCCGAAGAAAAAGCAUCGGCUAACUCCGUGCCAGCAGCCGCGGUAAUACGGAGGAUGCGAGCGUUAUCCGGUUUUAUUGGGGUUAAAGGGUGCGCAGGGGGAGGUGCAAGUCAGCGGUAAAAUUGCGGGGCUCAACCCCGUACUGCCGUUGAAACUGCAUCCCUUGAGUGCGCGAGAAGUAUGCGGAAUGCGUGGUGUAGCGGUGAAAUGCAUAGAUAUCACGCAGAACUCCGAUUGCGAAGGCAGCAUACCGGCGCGCAACUGACGCUGAUGCACGAAAGCGUGGGUAUCGAACAGGAUUAGAUACCCGAGUAGUC
This 459-nucleotide ribosomal RNA is filed under the name uncultured bacterium. RNAcentral's name for it is "partial 16S ribosomal RNA". It matches the Rfam family "Bacterial small subunit ribosomal RNA", at positions 338 to 795 of the family's 1533-position model. The record is from RNAcentral.